GGGGAUAUAGCUCAGUUGGCUAGAGCGCCGCAAUCGCACUGCGGAGGUCAGGGGUUCGACUCCCCUUAUCUCCA
This 74-nucleotide transfer RNA is filed under the name Bacteroidales bacterium. RNAcentral's name for it is "tRNA-Ala". It matches the Rfam family "tRNA". From Rfam's summary of the family: Transfer RNA (tRNA) molecules are approximately 80 nucleotides in length. Their secondary structure includes four short double-helical elements and three loops (D, anti-codon, and T loops). Further hydrogen bonds mediate the characteristic L-shaped molecular structure. tRNAs have two regions of fundamental functional importance: the anti-codon, which is responsible for specific mRNA codon recognition, and the 3' end, to which the tRNAs corresponding amino acid is attached (by aminoacyl-tRNA synthetases). tRNAs cope with the degeneracy of the genetic code in two manners: having more than one tRNA (with a specific anti-codon) for a particular amino acid; and 'wobble' base-pairing, i.e. permitting non-standard base-pairing at the 3rd anti-codon position. Lineage: Bacteria; Pseudomonadati; Bacteroidota; Bacteroidia; Bacteroidales. The record is from RNAcentral. RNAcentral also lists the same sequence under 1 other name.